GCUCAGGAUGAACGCUGGCGGCGUGCUUAACACAUGCAAGUCGAGCGAAGCACCUUGACGUGAUUUCUUCGGAUUGAAGCCUUGGUGACUGAGCGGCGGACGGGUGAGUAACGCGUGGGUAACCUGCCUCAUACAGGGGGAUAACAGUUGGGAACGGCUGCUAAUACCGCAUAAGCGCACAGUACCGCAUGGUACGGUGUGAAAAACUCCGGUGGUAUGAGAUGGACCCGCGUCUGAUUAGGUAGUUGGUGGGGUAACGGCCUACCAAGCCGACGAUCAGUAGCCGACCUGAGAGGGUGACCGGCCACAUUGGGACUGAGACACGGCCCAAACUCCUACGGGAGGCAGCAGUA
RNAcentral lists this ribosomal RNA (353 nucleotides) under uncultured bacterium. RNAcentral describes it as "bacterial SSU rRNA". It matches the Rfam family "Bacterial small subunit ribosomal RNA", at positions 22 to 356 of the family's 1533-position model. The record is from RNAcentral.